Microcebus murinus (gray mouse lemur) is the source of this 460-nucleotide non-coding RNA. NCBI's taxonomy places the organism in Eukaryota, Metazoa, Chordata, Mammalia, Primates, Cheirogaleidae. The record is from RefSeq and is a predicted model, not a curated record.
UCUGUAGCGAGGGCUUUGUUUGUAAACUGAGGGUUCCCCUACGAGGCAAGGAGAGAAGUCGAGACUGGAGGGGGCUGCUUUAUCCUCCUCGUAAAAUGCAACCUUGACUGAAACGACAACAUGGUUAGUUCAAAUGGAAACGCAUCUUUCCUGUAGCAUCCUUCAGAAAGAGAUAAAGAAACUGAAUUUCAGAGAGGUUAUGCAGCUCAUCCGAAGUCACACAAUUGCAAUGAAGGAGAUAGGACGUGGACCAGGCACUCCGGAUCCAGUGUAUGUCCUCUUAGUUUGCGCUCCACUAUCUGUUGCUUAGAGAUGAGCUCUGAAGAACCAGCCCAGAUAAAGAAGACUUUCCUAGAAUACAUAGAAUUGAGGGUAACAAGCAAAAUUUCUGUUGAGUCAUUGCUAUUGUUCUUAGAAAUCACAGAUGUUUACAAGGGACAUUAAAGAUCAUUCAAGCCAA